RNAcentral lists this ribosomal RNA (399 nucleotides) under uncultured bacterium. RNAcentral's name for it is "bacterial SSU rRNA". It matches the Rfam family "Bacterial small subunit ribosomal RNA", at positions 30 to 429 of the family's 1533-position model. The record is from RNAcentral.
AUUGAACGCUGGCGGCAUGCCUUACACAUGCAAGUCGAACGGCAGCGGACCUUCGGGUGCCGGCGAGUGGCGAACGGGUGAGUAAUAUAUCGGAACGUACCUUUCAGUGGGGGAGUAACGUAGCGAAAGUUACGCUAAUACCGCAUAUUCUGUGAGCAGGAAAGCAGGGGAUUCGCAAGACCUUGCGCUGAUUGAGCGGCCGAUAUCAGAUUAGCUAGUUGGUGAGGUAAAGGCUCACCAAGGCGACGAGUCUGUAGCGGGUCUGACGAGGAUGAUCCGCCACACUGGAACUGAGACACGGUCCAGACUCCUACGGGAGGCAGCAGUGGGGAAUUUUGGACAAUGGGCGCAAGCCUGAUCCAGCCAUGCCGCGUGAGUGAAGAAGGCCUCGGUUGUAAG